CAGUCGAGCGGACAGAGGGAGCUUGCUCCCGGAUGUUAGCGGCGGACGGGUGAGUAACACGUGGGUAACCUGCCUGUAAGACUGGGAUAACUCCGGGAAACCGGAGCUAAUACCGGAUAGUUCCUUGAACCGCAUGGUUCAAGGAUGAAAGACGGUUUCGGCUGUCACUUACAGAUGGACCCGCGGCGCAUUAGCUAGUUGGUGGGGUAAUGGCUCACCAAGGCGACGAUGCGUAGCCGACCUGAGAGGGUGAUCGGCCACACUGGGACUGAGACACGGCCCAGACUCCUACGGGAGGCAGCAGUAGGGAAUCUUCCGCAAUGGACGAAAGUCUGACGGAGCAACGCCGCGUGAGUGAUGAAGGUUUUCGGAUCGUAAAGCUCUGUUGUUAGGGAAGAACAAGUGCGAGAGUAACUGCUCGCACCUUGACGGUACCUAACCAGAAAGCCACGGCUAACUACGUGCCAGCAGCCGCGGUAAUACGUAGGUGGCAAGCGUUGUCCGGAAUUAUUGGGCGUAAAGGGCUCGCAGGCGGUUUCUUAAGUCUGAUGUGAAAGCCCCCGGCUCAACCGGGGGAGGGUCAUUGGAACUGGGAAACUUGAGUGCAAAAGAGAGUGGAAUUCCACGUGU
This 630-nucleotide ribosomal RNA is filed under the name Bacillus sp. (in: firmicutes). RNAcentral describes it as "bacterial SSU rRNA". It matches the Rfam family "Bacterial small subunit ribosomal RNA", at positions 59 to 676 of the family's 1533-position model. The record is from RNAcentral. Lineage: Bacteria; Bacillati; Bacillota; Bacilli; Caryophanales; Bacillaceae.